RNAcentral lists this ribosomal RNA (264 nucleotides) under uncultured archaeon. RNAcentral describes it as "partial 16S ribosomal RNA". It matches the Rfam family "Archaeal small subunit ribosomal RNA", at positions 718 to 982 of the family's 1478-position model. The record is from RNAcentral.
AGUCACUGACAUUAGAUACCCCGGUAGUCCCAGCCGUAAACUAUGCGCGUUAGGUGUACUGGUGACCACGAGUCACCGGGGUGCCGGAGAGAAGUUGUUAAGUCUGCUACUUGGGGAGUACGUCCGCAAGGAUGAAACUUAAAGGAAUUGGCGGGGGAGCACCGCAACGGGAGGAGCGUGCGGUUUAAUUGGAUUCAACACCGUAAACUCACCAGGGAAGACUGUUACAUGAAGGCCGAGAUGAAGACUCUGCUAGAUUUUCAG